RNAcentral lists this ribosomal RNA (301 nucleotides) under uncultured bacterium. RNAcentral describes it as "partial 16S ribosomal RNA". It matches the Rfam family "Bacterial small subunit ribosomal RNA", at positions 509 to 807 of the family's 1533-position model. The record is from RNAcentral.
CAGUAGCCACGGUAAUACAGAGGGUGCGAGCGUUAAUCGGAUUUACUGGGCGUAAAGCGUGCGUAGGCGGCUUCUUAAGUCGGAUGUAAAAUCCCUGAGCUUAACUUAGGAAUUGCAUUCGAUACUGGGAAGCUAGAGUAUGGGAGAGGAUGGUAGAAUUCCAGGUGUAGCGGUGAAAUGCGUAGAGAUCUGGAGGAAUACCGAUGGCGAAGGCAGCCAUCUGGCCUAAUACUGACGCUGAGGUACGAAAGCAUGGGGAGCAAACAGGAUUAGAUACCCCCGUAGUCCCUGUCUCUUAUAC